CAUCCCGGCUUACCAACCCGAUGCAAACUGCGAAUACCGGAGAAUGUUAUCACGGGAGACACACGGCGGGUGCUAACGUCCGUCGUGAAGAGGGAAACAACCCAGACCGCCAGCUAAGGUCCCAAAGUCAUGGUUAAGUGGGAAACGAUGUGGGAAGGCCCAGACAGCCAGGAUGUUGGCUUAGAAGCAGCCAUCAUUUAAAGAAAGCGUAAUAGCUCACUGGUCGAGUCGGCCUGCGCGGAAGAUGUAACGGGGCUAAACCAUGCACCGAAGCUGCGGCAGCGACGCUGAUGCGUUGUUGGGUAGGGGAGCGUUCUGUAAGCCUGUGAAGGUGGCCUGUGAGGGUUGCUGGAGGUAUCAGAAGUGCGAAUGCUGACAUAAGUAACGAUAAAGCGGGUGAAAAGCCCGCUCGCCGGAAGACCAAGGGUUCCUGUCCAACGUUAAUCGGGGCAGGGUGAGUCGACCCCUAAGGCGAGGCCGAAAGGCGUAGUCGAUGGGAAACGGGUUAAUAUUCCCGUACUUGGUGUUACUGCGAAGGGG
Molecule: ribosomal RNA, 540 nt
Filed under: Salmonella enterica
Lineage: Bacteria; Pseudomonadati; Pseudomonadota; Gammaproteobacteria; Enterobacterales; Enterobacteriaceae
Description: partial 23S ribosomal RNA
Rfam family: Bacterial large subunit ribosomal RNA
Source: RNAcentral